RNAcentral lists this ribosomal RNA (176 nucleotides) under uncultured methanotrophic bacterium. RNAcentral describes it as "partial 16S ribosomal RNA". The record is from RNAcentral.
CCUGAGGAUCUUGCGCAUGGGCGCAGCCUGAUGCAGCCAUGCCGCGUGAGUGAUGAGGCCUUCGGGUUGUAACCUCUUUUGUCCGGGACGAUGGGGCGGGGGCUAGUACCGUUGUGUAUUGACAGUACCGUGACAAGAAGCGCGGUCAGAUACGUGCCGCAGACCGGGGGAAUCAA